GACGAACGCUGGCGGCGUGCCUAAUACAUGCCAGUAGAACGCUGAAGGAGGAGCUUGCUCUUCUGGAUGAGUUGCGAACGGGUGAGUAACGCGUAGGUAACCUGCCUGGUAGCGGGGGAUAACUAUUGGAAACGAUAGCUAAUACCGCAUAAGAGUAGAUGUUGCAUGACAUUUGCUUAAAAGGUGCAAUUGCAUCACUACCAGAUGGACCUGCGUUGUAUUAGCUAGUUGGUGGGGUAACGGCUCACCAAGGCGACGAUACAUAGCCGACCUGAGAGGGUGAUCGGCCACACUGGGACUGAGACACGGCCCAGACUCCUACGGGAGGCAGCAGUAGGGAAUCUUCGGCAAUGGACGGAAGUCUGACCGAGCAACGCCGCGUGAGUGAAGAAGGUUUUCGGAUCGCAAAGCUCUGUUGUAAGAGAAGAACGAGUGUGAGAGUGGAAAGUUCACACUGUGACGGUAUCUUACCAGAAAGGGACGGCUAACUACGUG
RNAcentral lists this ribosomal RNA (495 nucleotides) under uncultured bacterium. RNAcentral describes it as "partial 16S ribosomal RNA". It matches the Rfam family "Bacterial small subunit ribosomal RNA", at positions 28 to 507 of the family's 1533-position model. The record is from RNAcentral.